GACGAACGCUGGCGGCGUGCCUAAUACAUGCAAGUAGAACGCACAGUUUAUACCGUAGCUUGCUACACCAUAGACUGUGAGUUGCGAACGGGUGAGUAACGCGUAGGUAACCUGCCUGGUAGCGGGGGAUAACUAUUGGAAACGAUAGCUAAUACCGCAUAAUAUUGAUUAUUGCAUGAUAAUUGAUUGAAGGAUGCUAUUGCAUCACUACCAGAUGGACCUGCGUUGUAUUAGCUAGUAGGUGAGGUAACGGCUCACCUAGGCGACGAUACAUAGCAGACCUGAGAGGGUGAUCCGCCACACUGGGACUGAGACACGGCCCAGACUCCUACGGGAGGCAGCAGUAGGGAAUCUUCGGCAAUGGACGAAAGUCUGACCGAGCAACGCCGCGUGAGUGAAGAAGGUUUUCGGAUCGUAAAGCUCUGUUGUAAGAGAAGAACGGGUGUGAGAGUGGAAAGUUCACACUGUGACGGUAUCUUACCAGAAAGGGACGGCUAACUACGUG
Molecule: ribosomal RNA, 505 nt
Filed under: uncultured bacterium
Lineage: Bacteria
Description: partial 16S ribosomal RNA
Rfam family: Bacterial small subunit ribosomal RNA
Source: RNAcentral